UGAAGUUACAAAAAGAAGCAUUCAAUACUUAUAAUUACAUUUUUUAGCAAUGAUCAUGAAAACACGAAUUUUAUUAUUGUUUUAUUUAAUUCGCCUGUGCACUUUAUUGUGGGACCACGUGUUAUCAUGAAUGAAAAGUUUUAUUGAGCAAUGCAAUUGCUUACGGAAUAACACGUGAUGUGCAGUUAGCCAAUCAGAAUAAAGUAUCAUAAUGAAACAUACAUCUAAUGUAAUUAUU
Molecule: long non-coding RNA, 238 nt
Filed under: Mytilus galloprovincialis (Mediterranean mussel)
Lineage: Eukaryota; Metazoa; Mollusca; Bivalvia; Mytilida; Mytilidae
Source: RNAcentral